UACGAAGGAUCCAAGCGUUAUCCGGAUUUAUUGGGUUUAAAGGGUGCGUAGGCGGCUUAUUAAGUCAGAGGUGAAAGCCUGGAGCUUAACUCCAGAACUGCCUUUGAUACUGAUGAGCUUGAAUAUAGUUGAGGUAGGCGGAAUGUGUCAUGUAGCGGUGAAAUGCUUAGAUAUGACACAGAACACCGAUUGCGAAGGCAGCUUGCUAAACUAUUAUUGACGCUGAGGCACUAAAGCGUGGGGAUCAAACAGG
Molecule: ribosomal RNA, 253 nt
Filed under: uncultured bacterium
Lineage: Bacteria
Description: partial 16S ribosomal RNA
Rfam family: Bacterial small subunit ribosomal RNA
Source: RNAcentral